RNAcentral lists this ribozyme (75 nucleotides) under Crocodylus porosus (Australian saltwater crocodile). RNAcentral describes it as "Mammalian CPEB3 ribozyme (ENSCPRG00005009513.1)". It matches the Rfam family "Mammalian CPEB3 ribozyme". Rfam says of the family: The mammalian CPEB3 ribozyme is a self cleaving RNA located in the second intron of the CPEB3 gene which belongs to a family of genes regulating messenger RNA polyadenylation. This ribozyme is highly conserved and found only in mammals. The record is from Rfam by way of RNAcentral. Lineage: Eukaryota; Metazoa; Chordata; Crocodylia; Crocodylidae.
AUUGCAAGUGCAAGGCCAUAGCAGAAGUGCCUAUGGCACAGCCUGUCAGAUUCCAACAAAUCUGCAAAUUCUGCU